CCAGACUCCUACGGGAGGCAGCAGUGAGGAAUAUUGGUCAAUGGCCGAGAGGCUGAACCAGCCAAGUCGCGUGAGGGAAGAAUGUCCUAAGGAUUGUAAACCUCUUUUGUCGGGGAGCAAAAAGGCUCUGCGGAGUCGUAUUGAGAGUACCCGAAGAAAAAGCAUCGGCUAACUCCGUGCCAGCAGCCGCGGUAAUACGGAGGAUGCGAGCGUUAUCCGGAUUUAUUGGGUUUAAAGGGUGCGUAGGCGGGAUGCCAAGUCAGCGGUAAAAAUGCGGUGCUCAACGCCGUCGAGCCGUUGAAACUGUCGGACUAGAGACGGCGAGAAGUACGCGGAAUGCGCGGUGUAGCGGUGAAAUGCAUAGAUAUCGCGCAGAACUCCGAUUGCGAAGGCAGCGUACCGGCGCCGGACUGACGCUGAGGCACGAAAGCGUGGGUAUCGAACAGGAUUAGAUACCCCAGUA
Molecule: ribosomal RNA, 463 nt
Filed under: uncultured bacterium
Lineage: Bacteria
Description: bacterial SSU rRNA
Rfam family: Bacterial small subunit ribosomal RNA
Source: RNAcentral